RNAcentral lists this ribosomal RNA (741 nucleotides) under Blautia wexlerae. RNAcentral describes it as "partial 23S ribosomal RNA". It matches the Rfam family "Bacterial large subunit ribosomal RNA", at positions 1200 to 1969 of the family's 2925-position model. The record is from RNAcentral. Lineage: Bacteria; Bacillati; Bacillota; Clostridia; Lachnospirales; Lachnospiraceae.
CUAAGGAACCGAAAGGUUGGUAGAGGAGCAUUGCAUGCGGGAAGAAGCAGUACCGAAAGGAGCUGUGGACUGCAUGGAAGAGAGAAUGCCGGAAUGAGUAGCGAGAAUAAGGUGAGAAUCCUUAUGGCCGAAUAUCCAAGGUUUCCAGAGUAAAGCUGAUCUGCUCUGGGUAAGUCGGGGCCUAAGGCGAGGACGAGAGUCGUAGCCGAUGGACAACAGGUGGAGAUUCCUGUACUGCGGUAUGACAGAACUGUGGGGACACGUAAGGAAAGCGGAAGCCGGGAAUGGAAAGCCCGGUGCAAGCGGGGUACCAGUCACUUUGGCAAAUCCGGGUGGCAAUGGGAAGCCGUGAUGCGGAGCGAAAUAAAGUAGCGAAGUCCGUGAGCCAUGCGUCAAGAAAAGCCGCUAUCGUUUAUACCGUACCCGUACCGUAAACCGACACAGGUGGAUGAGGAGAGAAUCCUAAGGCCGGCGGAAGAAGCAUUGUCAAGGAACUCGGCAAAAUGGCCCCGUAACUUAGGGAUAAGGGGUGCCUGGGAAACCAGGCCGCAGAGAAUAGGCUCAAGCAACUGUUUAGCAAAAACACAGGUCUAUGCGAAACCGAAAGGUGAGGUAUAUGGGCUGACGCCUGCCCGGUGCUGGAAGGUUAAGAGGAGAGGUUAGCGGUAACGCGAAGCUUUGAAUUUAAGCCCCAGUAAACGGCGGCCGUAACUAUAACGGUCCUAAGGUAGCGAAAUUCCU